Molecule: ribosomal RNA, 1251 nt
Filed under: human gut metagenome
Description: bacterial LSU rRNA
Rfam family: Bacterial large subunit ribosomal RNA
Source: RNAcentral
GUGAUAAGGUCCGUGGUCAAAAGGAAAAGAGUCCAGACCGCCAAAUAAGGUCCCAAAAUAUAUGCUAAGUGGAGAAGGAUGUAGAGAUGCCUAAACAACUAGGAUGUUGGCUUAGAAGCAGCCAUCAUUUAAAGAGUGCGUAAUAGCUCACUAGUCGAGUGACUCCGCGCCGAAAAUGUACCGGGGCUAAGCAUAUUACCGAAUUUGCGGAUUCGAUACGAAAGUAUUGAGUGGUAGGGGAGCGUUCCAUAUUGGGAAGAAGCAAGAUCGAGAGGACUUGUGGACUAUAUGGAAGUGAGAAUGCCGGUGUGAGUAACGAAAAGACAGGUGAGAAUCCUGUCCGUCAAAAACCCAAGGUUUCCAGGGGAAGGGUCGUCCGCCCUGGGUAAGUCUGGGCCUAAGGUGAGGCCGAGAGGCGUAGCUGAUGGAUAUCUGGUGUAUAUUCCAGAACUAGUAUAAUGACUGAUGGAGUGACGAAGAAGGCUAGGAUCCGAUUCUUAGUGGAUUGAAUACGAGAUAUCAAGAGGGGAUGUAGGCAAAUCCGCAUCUAGAAAUCAAGAUAUGAAAGGUAAAGGAUAACGAAGUCAAGCUUCCAAGAAAAGCUUCUAGGGUUAAUCAUUAUACUACCAGUACCGUAAACCGACACAGGUGGGUAGGAAGAGAAUUCUAAGACGCGCGAGAAAACCCUUGUUAAGGAACUCUGCAAGUUGGCCCCGUAAGUUCGCAAUAAGGGGAGCUCAUGUAAAAGUGAGCCACAGAAAAGAAGCCCAAGCAACUGUUUAACAAAAACACAGGUUUAUGCAAAACCGUAAGGUGAAGUAUAUGAGCUGACACCUGCCCGGUGCUGGAAGGUUAAGAGGAGAGGUUAGAGCAAUCGAAGCCUUGAAUUGAAGCCCCAGUAAACGGCGGCCGUAACUAUAACGGUCCUAAGGUAGCGAAAUUCCUUGUCAGGUAAGUUCUGACCCGCACGAAAGGUGUAAUGUCUUUGGGCACUGUCUCAACAGGGGACUCGGUGAAAUCAAACUGCCGGUGAAAAUGCCGGCUACCCGCGAUUAGACGGAAAGACCCCAUGGAGCUUUACUGUAGGUUGAUAUUGAUAUUUGGUAUGUAAUGUACAGGAUAGGUGGGAGACUAUGAAGCUAGGACGUUAGUCUUGGUGGAGUCGACGUUGGGAUACCACCCUUUGCCUAUCGAGUAUCUAACUAGUGUAAGUGGAUUACAAAGGACAGUGUCAGUUGGGCAGUUUGACUG